This 75-nucleotide transfer RNA is filed under the name Prevotellaceae bacterium. RNAcentral describes it as "tRNA-Ile". It matches the Rfam family "tRNA". From Rfam's summary of the family: Transfer RNA (tRNA) molecules are approximately 80 nucleotides in length. Their secondary structure includes four short double-helical elements and three loops (D, anti-codon, and T loops). Further hydrogen bonds mediate the characteristic L-shaped molecular structure. tRNAs have two regions of fundamental functional importance: the anti-codon, which is responsible for specific mRNA codon recognition, and the 3' end, to which the tRNAs corresponding amino acid is attached (by aminoacyl-tRNA synthetases). tRNAs cope with the degeneracy of the genetic code in two manners: having more than one tRNA (with a specific anti-codon) for a particular amino acid; and 'wobble' base-pairing, i.e. permitting non-standard base-pairing at the 3rd anti-codon position. The record is from RNAcentral. Lineage: Bacteria; Pseudomonadati; Bacteroidota; Bacteroidia; Bacteroidales; Prevotellaceae.
GGGCCCAUAGCUCAGUCGGUUAGUAGCACCUGACUCAUAAUCAGGGGGUCGUUGGUUCAAGUCCAACUGGGCCCA